Molecule: ribosomal RNA, 1445 nt
Filed under: human gut metagenome
Description: bacterial SSU rRNA
Rfam family: Bacterial small subunit ribosomal RNA
Source: RNAcentral
GAUGAACGCUGGCGGCGUGCUUAACACAUGCAAGUCGAACGGGAUCCUGCGGGCUUUGCCUGCGGGUGAGAGUGGCGAACGGGUGAGUAAUGCGUGACCAACCUGCCCCAUGCUCCGGAAUAGCUCCUGGAAACGGGUGGUAAUGCCGGAUGUUCCCGCGCCCCGCAUGGGGUGCGGGGAAAGUUUUUGCGGCGUGGGAUGGGGUCGCGUCCUAUCAGCUUGUUGGCGGGGUGAGGGCCCACCAAGGCUUCGACGGGUAGCCGGCCUGAGAGGGCGACCGGCCACAUUGGGACUGAGAUACGGCCCAAACUCCUACGGGAGGCAGCAGUGGGGAAUAUUGCACAAUGGGCGCAAGCCUGAUGCAGCGACGCCGCGUGCGGGAUGGAGGCCUUCGGGUUGUAAACCGCUUUUGAUCGGGAGCAAGCCCUUCGGGGUGAGUGUACCUUUCGAAUAAGCACCGGCUAACUACGUGCCAGCAGCCGCGGUAAUACGUAGGGUGCAAGCGUUAUCCGGAAUUAUUGGGCGUAAAGGGCUCGUAGGCGGUUCGUCGCGUCCGGUGUGAAAGCCCAUCGCUUAACGGUGGGUCUGCGCCGGGUACGGGCGGGCUGGAGUGCGGUAGGGGAGACUGGAAUUCCCGGUGUAACGGUGGAAUGUGUAGAUAUCGGGAAGAACACCAAUGGCGAAGGCAGGUCUCUGGGCCGUCACUGACGCUGAGGAGCGAAAGCGUGGGGAGCGAACAGGAUUAGAUACCCUGGUAGUCCACGCCGUAAACGGUGGAUGCUGGAUGUGGGCCCGUUCCACGGGUUCCGUGUCGGAGCUAACGCGUUAAGCAUCCCGCCUGGGGAGUACGGCCGCAAGGUUAAAACUCAAAGGAAUUGACGGGGGCCCGCACAAGCGGUGGAGUAUGUGGUUUAAUUCGACGCAACGCGAAGAACCUUACCUAGACUUGACAUCUCCUGCAUUACCCUUAAUCGGGGAAGUUCCUUCGGGGACAGGAAGACAGGUGGUGCAUGGUUGUCGUCAGCUCGUGCUGUGAGAUGUUGGGUUAAGUCCCGCAACGAGCGCAACCCUUAUCAUUAGUUGCUAACAUUAAGUUGAGCACUCUAGUGAGACUGCCCGGGUUAACCGGGAGGAAGGUGGGGAUGACGUCAAAUCAUCAUGCCCCUUAUGUCUGGGGCUACACACGUGCUACAAUGGUGGGAACAAAGAGAUGCAAGACCGCAAGGUGGAGCCAAACUCAAAAACCCAUCCCAGUUCGGAUUGUAGGCUGAAACUCGCCUACAUGAAGCUGGAGUUGCUAGUAAUCGCGAAUCAGAAUGUCGCGGUGAAUACGUUCCCGGGCCUUGUACACACCGCCCGUCACACCAUGAGAGUCGGCAACACCCGAAGCCCGUGAGGUAACCUUUUGGAACCAGCGGUCGAAGGUGGGGUUGAUAAUUGGGGUG